GCCUACGGGGGGCAGCAGUGAGGAAUAUUGGUCAAUGGGCGGUAGCCUGAACCAGCCAAGUAGCGUGAAGGAUGAAGGUUCUAUGGAUUGUAAACUUCUUUUAUAAAGGAAUAAAGUGAGGCACGUGUGCCUUUUUGUAUGUACUUUAUGAAUAAGGAUCGGCUAACUCCGUGCCAGCAGCCGCGGUAAUACGGAGGAUCCGAGCGUUAUCCGGAUUUAUUGGGCUUAAAGG
Molecule: ribosomal RNA, 232 nt
Filed under: uncultured bacterium
Lineage: Bacteria
Description: partial 16S ribosomal RNA
Rfam family: Bacterial small subunit ribosomal RNA
Source: RNAcentral